AGCAGCCGCCACGGGAAUACGGAGGAUCCAAGCGUUAUCCGGAUUUAUUGGGUUUAAAGGGUGCGUAGGUGGCCUGUUAAGUCAGGGGUGAAAGACGGUAGCUUAACUAUCGCAGUGCCCUUGAUACUGAUGGGCUUGAAUGAACUAGAGGUAGGCGGAAUGCGACAAGUAGCGGUGAAAUGCAUAGAUAUGUCACAGAACACCAAUUGCGAAGGCAGCUUACUAUGGUUUUAUUGACACUGAGGCACGAAAGCGUGGGGAUCAAACAGGAUUAGAUACCCCAGUAGUCCCUGUCUCUUAUAC
RNAcentral lists this ribosomal RNA (303 nucleotides) under uncultured bacterium. RNAcentral describes it as "partial 16S ribosomal RNA". It matches the Rfam family "Bacterial small subunit ribosomal RNA", at positions 507 to 807 of the family's 1533-position model. The record is from RNAcentral.